This is a long non-coding RNA of Trifolium pratense (red clover), 3545 nucleotides long. RefSeq lists it as uncharacterized. The record is from RefSeq and is a predicted model, not a curated record. Lineage: Eukaryota; Viridiplantae; Streptophyta; Magnoliopsida; Fabales; Fabaceae. The transcript has 4 exons.
UUUCCUACCAAAAUUAAAAUUAAAAUAAAAAACAAAAGAAAAAGUUACGCUGAACUUUCCCAAAUCUCACUCUCAGUCUCAAAAUUCAUCAAACCCUCCUUCAUCUUCUUCAAACCCAGUGAUCUUCUUCAAAUAUCAAACCACCCAGAAACCUUCAUCUCACUCAGUUCAUCAGAUCAAACUACCCACAAACCCUCGAUUUUCUUCACUCACCCUCGUUAUUCUUCUCCAAUCUCAUUCCACCCAGAAACCCUCGACCUUCUUCUUCUCACCAUCAUCACUAUCACUCCAUCCAUAAACCCUUCUUCUCACCAUCGUAAAUUACACUCCAAUCGCCACUCACCCAGAAACUCGUUGAAGCCCUAAACCCCCAAAAUCUCUUCAUCGAUUUAACCCAGGUUGAACAUAAGCUCCUUGAAACCCUAAAACAAAAAUCAAUUGAACCUGUGAAACUCGCUGAAACCCGAAAACCAUCUUCCCCCAUCGUUCACCAUUGUCCAUUGUUUCAGAAUUCGUUAACCUAGAAAUUUUUCAUCCUUUCGCCAUUGUUCAUGGCAAUUGAACCUUUGUCUUCUCACAAGAAGUUAAGUUACUCACUCUUACUCAAUCAACAACAUAUUUUGUUAUUUUUGUUUAUAUAAGAUUGAUUGAAAUCAUCUAAUUGAGGAAUUAUGUUGUUGUUUUGAUUUUGAUUUGUGGUAGAACCGAGACUUAAUCUGUAUCCUGAUUAUUAUUUUUUUUGUUACUUUUUAGAUUAACCCACAACAAGUGUCAUCUGCUAGUGUAAAUUUAACAACAGAGACAAUAAUAGUUUGAAUUAAUUUUUUUUUUUAAACAAUUACAAGCUUGUCUUAUAGCUUUCAAAGAAUUAGCUCGAUGUGGUGAAGGUCAAAUGGCAUUUGAUGUAAUUCUUUAUGGUAUCCACUAUUUGAUAAAGUUUUCUGAUAUCUAAUUUUAUUGGGUGAGUUACCAAUUCUUUGAUUUUCUAGUUGAUAAAGCAUAGUACUGUGCCUUUUAAUUUUGAUAUGAUAAGCUUUAGUUUUAGACUUUUAGGCUAAGAUCAUUGUUAGGUCCAAACUGCUGAAAAAUUUGCAUUUCUGUCAAUAAGUUUUUAGGUUUCAAGUGAAGAAAGUUGACACUGCUUAUAUAAAACACCUUGCUGACAGGCUUCCUGAGGUUAAACAUCUAUUAUCUAUACCUUGAUGAUUUUAUUUUGAUUUACUUACUAUGCUCUAUGAUGAAUCCAUCAUAUUGUGACCAAUUUUUUUUCCACUAAACUUUAGUGCAAUGCAUCGGACAAUAUACCUAUAUUCAUAACCUAUCUUCCAGAAAUUGUGUUAAUAAUUUCUAAUACUUUUUCACUGGGAUAUAAUCAUUGCGUUAAUAAUUGCAUCUCGGUGUUUUGAUUAUCUCCUAUGUAACGAUACCAAAAAUAGGAACAAUAUUUUGGGAUUUUAUGGAUAAUCUGGAUUUCAAUAUGAGUUGAAAGGUACAAUAGUAGCUUGCAGAAAUUAAAAUACAAUUUGAAGAUAGAAGAUGAACUAGAGAAUUAGAAUUAAGUUGCAGUAGCAACUUCCAAAGAGAGAUGAGAGAUUCUUCAUAAUUUCUUUCAUAUCUCACACAUCAUUCAUACUUCCCUCUUUAUAGCAAUUUCGUUUAGUAAUCUUCACUUAAUUAUUGGAUCACUUGACACAUGUACCUUUUCUCUAAUCAUUUUAGUGACCUAAUAUGAUGACAUGCCUUUUCUUCUAUUGGUAUCAUUACAAUACCUUCCCUUUAAAAUAAACCUUGUCCUCAAGGUUGAAACCAAGAUAAGUGGUGUUGAAUGACAUAAACAACUUUUCAAGUUUCUCCAAGUCAAGAGAACAUCCACCUGGAUCCCAUUGUUCAAAUUUUACAGAUACUUUGGUCUAGAAAAAAUAGGCAUUACCACCUGGAUCCCAUUGUUUGAAAUGUAAGGAUCUCUUUAAACGGAUAAAAUAACCAUUGCCACCCUGAUCCCAAUUCUUGCCGUGCUUGAUCCAUGAUGCUAGUUUAUAACCCAAAACACUUAUAUUGAUAAGUGUUAUAAUCCUGCUAAUCAUUAUAAUUGGGACUUUCUCUUUGUACUUUAGUAAGAUAUAUUGAUAAGUGCCCUGCAAUGAAUCCAAAGAAAGGCACAAGCAUUGAAGUUUAUGAAAAUAAAGCACCAAAGGAGAUCCCUCUAACAAUUCCAGCAGAGUAUGUGUAUCUGCAUCAAUACUGGAUUCAAAUUCCUCCACAUAUGUCACACCAUCUAUCCUCAUCAACAUGAUGGGAAAAGCAAUGGCAAGACUGCCAUGAAACAAAUCAGUAAGGUAAUUUUUGUGAAUAACUAGCUGAUCCUUAGGAUUGUAAUAUAUUGCUAGAAGAUAUGCCUCACCAAUACCCUGUUCAUGACCAUUCCAAAGUGCAGUGCAUUUAUGAUUAAAACAAAACCAAGUGUUUGCAAAUGUCUCAAGAAUCCACUCCUUAACAAGUAACAAUCUCUCUUCCUUUAAAGGUCUGUAUGGCUCCAAAAAGUAUGGCUUAAAAUAUGUGAGUAAUAAACUAAGUGACAUCCUAGUUUUCCUUUUAUCGCUUAGUCCUAAUUGCAAUUGAAGCACGCUUUCAUUACUUUCUAAUAUCAAAUAAUUGAUGUCUAAACUAUUUGGUGCAGGUUGGACUCCAUUCUAACCGCAAGAUACCAUUCAAAGUAUUAAUGUUUUUUUUUAUGGUUUAUAUUGUUUUAAACCAUAGAGGCUUCUCAACAAAGUUUUAGUAGUUUGGUUACUUGAUAUUCUUCUUGAAAAUGAAUGGUCACUUGCCAAUUUGCAGGUCUGUGAACUGGACAUGAUAUUCAACUUUCAUAAGGUCUUGCAUUAAAUGGCGUCACUAUUUUUCAAAAUUUAUAUUUUGAUCAUUUGACACAUUUCUUUUAAGAUUAUGAGCCAAUGAUUUUUUUUAUUGUAACCCCUAGGGAGUCAUUGAAUUUAAAUCCAUUCUUCUAUCCUUCACUUGAUUAGUUCAAUAUACCUAUACUACAAGAAUCAAAUUGCAGCAUGCAGAUAAAGAAGCUCUACACGCAAAGGGAAGAUUAAAUCAAAUAGUAUAUAAAGAUCUAAUGGGAGAGUGACAGUUAAAUUGGAAGAGAUUGUCCACGUUGCACUCAUGUUUAGACAUUUUAGGUGACUGUUGAUUUUUUGACUUUUUGUGGAAUUGAAUUUGCCACUAAACAUUAGUAGUAAGGCACCACAGGAAAUUUUAUGAAUCUGGUGACAUUAGUACUAAGGCUUUUUUUUUGUACCAAAGAUCAGCUAUUUGAAAUAGGGUGGUGUCAUACAUACAUGCUUAUAAGCAAAGGAUUGAUUAAGUUUGUCAUUUUCAUGCCUCUAGUUUUGAGUUGUAUUUUGAUGGAUUAUUUUAUAAUAUAUACUUAGUUAUGUUGUACUGCACAUCAUGUAUUGUUUGAUUUAAUGAUUAAUAAAAAUUUGUUUAGUUUUGGUUAUUCAAGUUUAUAAUAAUUAAAAAAAAAAUUAAAAAGAAAA